This 253-nucleotide ribosomal RNA is filed under the name uncultured bacterium. RNAcentral's name for it is "partial 16S ribosomal RNA". It matches the Rfam family "Bacterial small subunit ribosomal RNA", at positions 524 to 776 of the family's 1533-position model. The record is from RNAcentral.
UACAGAGGUCCCGAGCGUUGUUCGGAUUCACUGGGCGUAAAGGGUGCGCAGGUGGGCUGGUAAGUUCGAUGUGAAAGCCCCGGGCUUAACCCGGGAAAGGCAUUGGAUACUACUGGUCUGGAGGAUCGGAGGGGGGACUGGAAUUCUUGGUGUAGCAGUGAAAUGCGUAGAUAUCAAGAGGAACACCAGUGGCGAAGGCGAGUCCCUGGACGAUACCUGACACUGAGGCACGAAAGCCAAGGGAGCAAACAGG